Molecule: ribosomal RNA, 240 nt
Filed under: Triticum aestivum (bread wheat)
Lineage: Eukaryota; Viridiplantae; Streptophyta; Magnoliopsida; Poales; Poaceae
Description: partial small subunit ribosomal RNA
Source: RNAcentral
AUGCGCUUGCUCGACGUGUAUGCAAUGAAGGAUGAGAGGACUUGUGGUUAUGACAAAUGGAUCGACAAACCAUGGCAGGGAAGGGAAAGAAGUGUAAUUGCUAAUCUUGCUAGCAAGAAAGAGGUUUUGGAGAAGAAGCUGAAGGAGAAAGAUGGUGACAUAGAAGCUGUGAAGGAGAAGCAGAUAAUGGAGACGAGAAUGAUUGCAAUGGAGAUCAGUUGCUAUCCAGAGAUAGGAUGA